RNAcentral lists this ribosomal RNA (465 nucleotides) under uncultured bacterium. RNAcentral describes it as "partial 16S ribosomal RNA". It matches the Rfam family "Bacterial small subunit ribosomal RNA", at positions 28 to 507 of the family's 1533-position model. The record is from RNAcentral.
GACGAACGCUGGCGGCGUGCUUAACACAUGCAAGUCGAACGGAAAGGCCCUGCUUGCAGGGUACUCGAGUGGCGAACGGGUGAGUAACACGUGGGUGAUCUGCCCUGCACUUCGGGAUAAGCCUGGGAAACUGGGUCUAAUACCGGAUAGGAGCCAUUUUUAGUGUGAUGGUUGGAAAGUUUUUUCGGUGUAGGAUGAGCUCGCGGCCUAUCAGCUUGUUGGUGGGGUAAUGGCCUACCAAGGCGGCGACGGGUAGCCGGCCUGAGAGGGUGGACGGCCACAUUGGGGCUGAGAUACGGCCCAGACUCCUACGGGAGGCAGCAGUGGGGAAUAUUGCACAAUGGGCGCAAGCCUGAUGCAGCGACGCCGCGUGGAGGAUGACGGCCUUCGGGUUGUAAACUCCUUUCGCUAGGGACGAAGCUUUUUGUGACGGUACCUAGAUAAGAAGCACCGGCUAACUACGUG